Molecule: ribosomal RNA, 253 nt
Filed under: uncultured bacterium
Lineage: Bacteria
Description: partial 16S ribosomal RNA
Rfam family: Bacterial small subunit ribosomal RNA
Source: RNAcentral
UACAGGGGGGGCAAGCGUUGUUCGGAAUUACUGGGCGUAAAGGGUUCGUAGGUGGCCACCUAAGUCAGACGUGAAAUCCCUCAGCUUAACUGGGGAACUGCGUCUGAUACUGGGUGGCUUGAGUGCAGGAGAGGAAUGCGGAAUUCCAGGUGUAGCGGUGAAAUGCGUAGAUAUCGGGAGGAACACCGGUGGCGAAGGCGGUUCUCUGGGCCUUACCUGACGCUGAGGAGCGAAAGCGUGGGGAGCGAACAGG